RNAcentral lists this ribosomal RNA (447 nucleotides) under uncultured bacterium. Its description in RNAcentral is "partial 16S ribosomal RNA". It matches the Rfam family "Bacterial small subunit ribosomal RNA", at positions 29 to 523 of the family's 1533-position model. The record is from RNAcentral.
AACGAACGCUGGCGGCAGGCCUAACACAUGCAAGUCGAGCGCCCCGCAAGGGGAGCGGCGGACGGGUGAGUAACGCGUGGGAAUUUUUCCUGGAGUACGGAACAACCGAGGGAAACUUCGGCUAAUACCGUAUGAUAUCGAGAGAUCAAAGAUUUAUCGCUCUGGGGUGAGCCCGCGUCAGAUUAGGUAGUUGGUGGGGUAACGGCCUACCAAGCCUGUGAUCUGUAGCUGGUCUGAGAGGACGAUCAGCCACACUGGGACUGAGACACGGCCCAGACUCCUACGGGAGGCAGCAGUGGGGAAUCUUGCGCAAUGGGCGAAAGCCUGACGCAGCCAUGCCGCGUGAGUGAAGAAGGUCUUAGGAUUGUAAAGCUCUUUCGCUCGUGACGAUGAUGACGGUAACGAGAGAAGAAGCCCCGGCUAACUUCGUGCCAGCAGCCGCAGUAA